GCCCCGAUGGUGGAAUGGUAGACACGCAUGUUUCAGGUACAUGUGCCGCAAGGUGUGCUGGUUCGAGUCCGGUUCGGGGCA
This 81-nucleotide transfer RNA is filed under the name Bacteroidota bacterium. Its description in RNAcentral is "Bacteroidetes bacterium (chicken gut metagenome) tRNA-Leu". It matches the Rfam family "tRNA". Rfam says of the family: Transfer RNA (tRNA) molecules are approximately 80 nucleotides in length. Their secondary structure includes four short double-helical elements and three loops (D, anti-codon, and T loops). Lineage: Bacteria; Pseudomonadati; Bacteroidota. RNAcentral also lists the same sequence under 2 other names. The record is from RNAcentral.